ACGCUGGCGGUAUGCUUAACACAUGCAAGUCGAACGGAAACGAUACUAGCUUGCUAGUAGGCGUCGAGUGGCGGACGGGUGAGUAACGCGUAGGAAUCUGCCUGAUAGUGGGGGAUAGCCCGAAGAAAUUCGGAUUAAUACCGCAUAAUCUAUUCGUAGUAAAGUGGGGGACUUUCGAGCCUCACGCUAUCAGAUGAGCCUGCGUAAGAUUAGCUAGUUGGUAGGGUAAAAGCCUACCAAGGCUACGAUCUUUAGCUGGUCUGAGAGGAUGAUCAGCCACAUCGGGACUGAGACACGGCCCGAACUCCUACGGGAGGCAGCAGUGGGGAAUAUUGGACAAUGGGGGCAACCCUGAUCCAGCAAUACCGCGUGUGUGAAGAAGGCCUGAGGGUUGUAAAGCACUUUCAAUUGGAAGAAAAGUUAACGGUUAAUAACCGUUAGCCCUGACGUUAACUUAGAAGAAGCACCGGCUAACUCC
This 478-nucleotide ribosomal RNA is filed under the name uncultured bacterium. RNAcentral's name for it is "bacterial SSU rRNA". It matches the Rfam family "Bacterial small subunit ribosomal RNA", at positions 33 to 504 of the family's 1533-position model. The record is from RNAcentral.